RNAcentral lists this long non-coding RNA (679 nucleotides) under Brachypodium distachyon (stiff brome). RNAcentral describes it as "long non-coding RNA (BDIS_LNC001968)". The record is from RNAcentral. Lineage: Eukaryota; Viridiplantae; Streptophyta; Magnoliopsida; Poales; Poaceae.
ACGCAUAUUAACGCAAGGCUAAGACUUUAAUGAACCGCACAGCUAGUCUGUCGCAUGCAAUUAGAAUAUAGGCACAGUUAUGCAGCUACAUGCAAUCACAAGAUAUGCAAAAGUGAGUUCCCGAUUUUUCUGGUCGUUCGGUGGACUCGAGCGGCCUGGAGAGAUUCUCGCGCCUUACAUUUAGGAAACUAAAAGGAAUUUCUAUGGGUCCUACAUAAAAAAAGGAGGGAGUAUCUACACACAUUUUAGAAAUAGAUAAAUCCAGUUUUAUCAAAUUUGAGACAAAAAUUAUGAAACGGAGAAAUUACGUCUGCACCGUUUGAAAAAAAAAGAGAAAAUACAUAUCUGCAUCUACGCACGCAUGCAUGCGCGCCGGGGAUCGACUCUCUGUUCGUUUUACCAUUUCGCAUGAAUUUUGGUGCAUUGCCUUGCCGCAGCUGCCACCAAAACUGAUUCCAUCGGCAUAGCUACUAAUAUAGCCAGCGCCCGCGUCUUCUCGAACGCACCUUCCAUUCGCUUCGGUGACGUCGACGAUAAUCACGAUAUGCAUGGUUUGGGUGACGUCGACGAUAUGCAUGCCGUAUUGGAAACGGCGACUGCGAAGAAAAAUCAUAUUAUUUCUCUUCGAAGGAUCCGAUCGAGUAGCAGUUUGUUAGCACACCCAUGCGUAUAUUGCCAG